AGAUAUAAGACUAGUUCUGGAUACUAUUUUAUCUUGUCCACAAGAACUACUAUAUACUUAGAAUAUGAAGGAACAGUAUUUGUAGAAUGGAAUAUCCCUUUGUUAUGCACUGUUGCUAAUAAAAGCUCACCAAGUACAACUCUGCGUUGCCCAGUGCCUGGAGUUCACAAAAUUAAACCAGUAGUUACAAGACAGGCAUUUGAAGAUAAGGAACGUUACUUAUAUAUACUUGCUGAUGUGAAUUGUUUCCUGUGGUAUGUGUAUCUUUACCAGGAAG
This is a long non-coding RNA of Heteronotia binoei (common prickly gecko), 277 nucleotides long. RefSeq lists it as uncharacterized. The record is from RefSeq and is a predicted model, not a curated record. Lineage: Eukaryota; Metazoa; Chordata; Lepidosauria; Squamata; Gekkonidae. The transcript has 4 exons.